Molecule: ribosomal RNA, 33 nt
Filed under: Piper obliquum
Lineage: Eukaryota; Viridiplantae; Streptophyta; Magnoliopsida; Piperales; Piperaceae
Description: partial 18S ribosomal RNA
Source: RNAcentral
CUGAUAAGUGACUGCGGAAGGAUCAUUGUUGAU